AUGCUCACUUCAAGCAGCACAUAUACUAAAAUUGGGAUGAUAGGGAGAAAAUUAGCAUGGCUCCUGCACAAGUAUGACACACAAAUUCCUGAAGAGUUCCAUAUUUUU
Dromiciops gliroides (monito del monte) is the source of this 108-nucleotide small nuclear RNA. NCBI's taxonomy places the organism in Eukaryota, Metazoa, Chordata, Mammalia, Microbiotheria, Microbiotheriidae. The record is from RefSeq and is a predicted model, not a curated record.